RNAcentral lists this long non-coding RNA (1799 nucleotides) under Lathyrus oleraceus (garden pea). RNAcentral's name for it is "Pisum sativum (pea) long non-coding RNA (PSAT_LNC001968)". The record is from RNAcentral. Lineage: Eukaryota; Viridiplantae; Streptophyta; Magnoliopsida; Fabales; Fabaceae.
GAAUUCAAGAGAAAGUGUGAUGAAUCGGAGGUUUUGCAGGAGUCUAGCUCGAGCACGUUGAAGCUUCAAUAUGAAGCUUCAAUGGUUGCUGAAGAUGAGCUUUGAGUGAGGGUAAUGGAGAAAAGUUGCAGAGAUUCUGAGAGAAAAUUGAGAGUAUUGAUCAGUGUGUGUAAGAAUGAUUGAAUGAGGGUGAAGAGAAAAUUAUAUAGAGAGAAGGUUCAGAUCAAAUGGAGGAUUGGAGUGAGGGUAGGAGUUAGUUAGAUUCAACUCACCGAGUCAACUGCAAACUCAGCUAGUUAUUGAAUUGAACUCAGUGAGAAGUUAGUUAGGUUAAUAAAAUUCUGUUAGUGAAUGAAAAAAUUCAGUGUAAGGAGUUUAACUGUUAAUGAUUGAGUGAAUAUGAGUUCAGUUCAAUUUCUGUUAUAUUGGUGAAAGUUCAGUUAAGUUUAGUUGAAAAAGAAAACAACUAUAUUAGUCAUUAAGUUAUUAGUUGGUGAGAUGAAUUGUUGUUGGAUGGAAAUGUCAGUUCAGUUUAAAGUUAAUGAAGCUUUAUUCUCUAUUAAUGAAAUGAGUUGUUAGAUGUUAAUGUUAAUUGAUUUUCUCAAUUUUAAAAGUUAUGUCAAUUGGUUAGCUCGAUUGUUGUAGGAUUUGUUUGAUGCAGGUCUAGGUGAGGACCUUGAUACAAGUUAGGGGUUGCAGGCUGACUUGUGGAACUAGUUUAACCAUGUUAUUGGGAGCAAAUUGGUGAUUGAACCAUGUGAUUGCAUUCAAACUACAGACCAAGGCAUGCUACAGGCUUUUCCAUUCAAUUUGUUUGUUGCACUCCAACGGUUUCUGCAUGGAUGUGUUGUUGUUUAGAUGCUAUCCAUGUUCUACAUGGUUAUACUAUGGUUGUUUGUUAUGUAAUGCAAAUGAUGUAGUAGUGUAAUGUAUGUUGACUGGCUUGCUCAUGUUGGUGGUUUAAUGCUUGUUCCUGCAGGUUCAUGCUUGUGUAACAGUAUGAUUGGUAAGUAUGUGUGGAUUGCAGCAUCUAUGUGUGUGUUUAGGUCCUGAUGCAGGUUGAGCAUGUGUAGAACAACGAAAAUUGGUUUGGAUUGAACAAGAUGCUAGCCAUGAUGAAUAUACAUGCUGCUACUACAUUGUGAAUGAUGUUGAACUGAACUCAUGUUAACCAUUUCCCUGCUGUUGAUUGUUGUUGUUUUGUAGGUCUACUGUAGAAUUUUGGAAGGCUUUUUGUCAUUUGUAUUGCAUAUGGCUGCUUAGAUCAUGAAUAUGUGCAUGUAUGUGUUCAUGUUAGUUGUUAUCUUUUAUGAAAUAUGGGAUAGGUUAGGCAUAAUCUUCGAAUGUAUGCUUGGUUUGAUCUUGUUUGGAUUGAUGGCUGCAUGAUUUUAGUGCAAGGCCUAUUUUAGUGCAAGGCCUGGUUUGUGUGAUUGGUCAUGGUUGCAAGGAAAAAUCUAAAUGUAUUGAAAGCAUGAGCAAAUUCAAGGCAUGACAAACUUGGUGCAAAAUGGCUUUCUUGACAUGAAGCAAUAUGGUGAUAAAAUCUCAUGAAAUAAUGCAAGAGUGAAUAUGUAAUGCACAUUAGUGUUUAGAUUAUGGAAAAAAGGUUGGUUGACCAAAAAAUCAACAGUUGACCAAAAGUCAACCUUUGUAAAAAUUGCAUUUUUUGCAUUUCCUUUUGUAAUUGACAAUGUAAAUGCUAUUUUAAUGAUUGAAUAAUCAUUUACUUGAAUGAAAUGAUCCAGGAUUAAAUGUUAAACAAAAUGUCUUCAAAAAAUGAAUUUUACUUGAAAAUCCAA